GAUGUUGUAGGGUCAGCUAUUGGUAGAUGUUGUAGGGUCAGGUGAUGGUAGAUGUUGUAGGGUCAGGCUAUGGUAGCUGUUGUAGGGUCAAGUUUUGGUAGAUGUUGUAGGGCCUGGUGAUGGUAGAUGUUGUAGGGCCAGGUGUUGGUAGAUGUAGGGUCAGGUGUUG
Haliotis rubra (blacklip abalone) is the source of this 169-nucleotide long non-coding RNA. RefSeq lists it as uncharacterized. NCBI's taxonomy places the organism in Eukaryota, Metazoa, Mollusca, Gastropoda, Lepetellida, Haliotidae. The record is from RefSeq and is a predicted model, not a curated record. The transcript is spliced from 3 exons.